This 1406-nucleotide ribosomal RNA is filed under the name Lacticaseibacillus rhamnosus. RNAcentral describes it as "bacterial SSU rRNA". It matches the Rfam family "Bacterial small subunit ribosomal RNA". The record is from RNAcentral. Lineage: Bacteria; Bacillati; Bacillota; Bacilli; Lactobacillales; Lactobacillaceae.
UGAUUAUUGAAAGGUGCUUGCAUCUUGAUUUAAUUUUGAACGAGUGGCGGACGGGUGAGUAACACGUGGGUAACCUGCCCUUAAGUGGGGGAUAACAUUUGGAAACAGAUGCUAAUACCGCAUAAAUCCAAGAACCGCAUGGUUCUUGGCUGAAAGAUGGCGUAAGCUAUCGCUUUUGGAUGGACCCGCGGCGUAUUAGCUAGUUGGUGAGGUAACGGCUCACCAAGGCAAUGAUACGUAGCCGAACUGAGAGGUUGAUCGGCCACAUUGGGACUGAGACACGGCCCAAACUCCUACGGGAGGCAGCAGUAGGGAAUCUUCCACAAUGGACGCAAGUCUGAUGGAGCAACGCCGCGUGAGUGAAGAAGGCUUUCGGGUCGUAAAACUCUGUUGUUGGAGAAGAAUGGUCGGCAGAGUAACUGUUGUCGGCGUGACGGUAUCCAACCAGAAAGCCACGGCUAACUACGUGCCAGCAGCCGCGGUAAUACGUAGGUGGCAAGCGUUAUCCGGAUUUAUUGGGCGUAAAGCGAGCGCAGGCGGUUUUUUAAGUCUGAUGUGAAAGCCCUCGGCUUAACCGAGGAAGUGCAUCGGAAACUGGGAAACUUGAGUGCAGAAGAGGACAGUGGAACUCCAUGUGUAGCGGUGAAAUGCGUAGAUAUAUGGAAGAACACCAGUGGCGAAGGCGGCUGUCUGGUCUGUAACUGACGCUGAGGCUCGAAAGCAUGGGUAGCGAACAGGAUUAGAUACCCUGGUAGUCCAUGCCGUAAACGAUGAAUGCUAGGUGUUGGAGGGUUUCCGCCCUUCAGUGCCGCAGCUAACGCAUUAAGCAUUCCGCCUGGGGAGUACGACCGCAAGGUUGAAACUCAAAGGAAUUGACGGGGGCCCGCACAAGCGGUGGAGCAUGUGGUUUAAUUCGAAGCAACGCGAAGAACCUUACCAGGUCUUGACAUCUUUUGAUCACCUGAGAGAUCAGGUUUCCCCUUCGGGGGCAAAAUGACAGGUGGUGCAUGGUUGUCGUCAGCUCGUGUCGUGAGAUGUUGGGUUAAGUCCCGCAACGAGCGCAACCCUUAUGACUAGUUGCCAGCAUUUAGUUGGGCACUCUAGUAAGACUGCCGGUGACAAACCGGAGGAAGGUGGGGAUGACGUCAAAUCAUCAUGCCCCUUAUGACCUGGGCUACACACGUGCUACAAUGGAUGGUACAACGAGUUGCGAGACCGCGAGGUCAAGCUAAUCUCUUAAAGCCAUUCUCAGUUCGGACUGUAGGCUGCAACUCGCCUACACGAAGUCGGAAUCGCUAGUAAUCGCGGAUCAGCACGCCGCGGUGAAUACGUUCCCGGGCCUUGUACACACCGCCCGUCACACCAUGAGAGUUUGUAACACCCGAAGCCGGUGGCGUAACCCUUUU